This 460-nucleotide ribosomal RNA is filed under the name uncultured bacterium. RNAcentral's name for it is "partial 16S ribosomal RNA". It matches the Rfam family "Bacterial small subunit ribosomal RNA", at positions 338 to 795 of the family's 1533-position model. The record is from RNAcentral.
CCUACGGGAGGCAGCAGUGAGGAAUAUUGGUCAAUGGACGAGAGUCUGAACCAGCCAAGUAGCGUGAAGGAUUACUGCCCUAUGGGUUGUAAACUUCUUUUAUAUGGGAAUAAAACGUUCCACGUGUGGGAUUUUGUAUGUACCAUAUGAAUAAGGAUCGGCUAACUCCGUGCCAGCAGCCGCGGUAAUACGGAGGAUCCGAGCGUUAUCCGGAUUUAUUGGGUUUAACGGGAGCGUAGGUGGAUUGUUAAGUCAGUUGUGAAAGUUUGCGGCUCAACCGUAAAAUUGCAGUUGAAACUGGCAGUCUUGAGUACAGUAGAGGUGGGCGGAAUUCGUGGUGUAGCGGUGAAAUGCUUAGAUAUCACGAAGAACUCCGAUUGCGAAGGCAGUUCACUGGACUGCAACUGACACUGAGGCUCGAAAGUGUGGGUAUCAAACAGGAUUAGAUACCCUUGUAGUC